CACAGCACCAACUAUUGCCCCCAAACUGCUGUCUCUUUCAAAGUUAUCUAGGACUCCAGAGCAAUUUAGCUCUUUUGAUAAGCCUUGCCAGAACUCAGGUUCUGACCGCUGGAAUGGGCAAUUUCCCUCUGGCUAAGUCUGGUCUAAAUGUUCCUUCUGUAAGUGCCAGUUGAUUUCUACCCAGUGUUGCUUUCUGCUGUGACAGGGCAGCACUGAGUUGCAAUGCAAAGCUCCACAGUCACUAGGCUCUCCUUCCCCCAAGAAAACAGAUUCUCUCUCCAUGCCAUGCAGCUGCUGCCAGAGAAUGAAGGAUGGUGUUAGCAUUUCAAGACUGUCUUUUCUGCCCUCUUCCGUUCUGCUUUCAGUGAUAUGAAGUUAAAACCAGGUAUGGACUUAUCUGUACUCAGCCAACUGUAGAAGAACAACCCUUCAGAGCUCCUGAGAGUUGGUCGUCUUCAUACAGCUACUCUGGAUUUAGGACAUUUCACCCACAACUAUAAACUGGGCAGAGAAUGGGAGAAGAGCAUGAGGAAUCAUAUAACAGCAAUGGAUGCCAAAGAAAAAUAAUCCUCUGCAGAGAUUUAUGGGGGAACAGGGUCUCGCUGACUUACUGUUGCCCAGAUUGGAGUGCACUGGAGCAAUCAUAGCUCACUGCAGCCUCAAACUCCUGGGCUCAAGUGAUCCUCCCACCUCACCCUCUGGAAUAGCUGGGACUACAGGCAUGCACCACCACCAUGCGUGCUAAUUUUUGUAUUUUUGGCAGACGAGGUUUUGCCAUGUUGCCUAGGAUGGUCUCAAACUCCUGGGCUCAAGAGGUCUACCCAACUCCCUCUUUCAAAGUUCUGUGAUUAUAGGUGUGAGUCACAGCACCCGACCAAUUUUAAUGAUCUAUUACACUGCAUGGAGACCACAAUUAACAUUUGCAGACUUUACAUAGUUCACGUUAAGUUUGAGAAAUCUGGCUCCUGGUUAAAAAAUCUACAGAUGAUUUCUUACGUCUGGCCAUAAACAAUUACAAAGGCUUUAUUUAACUGACAGGCCUGAUGGGGAAAACCCGUCUUCACAUCCCCAUACCAGACACGGUGAACAGAUGAUACCUUCCAGUGUCAAAGGGGAGCUGCAGUCAAACACUCAAGCCCCUCUGUGUGUCUGCCUUACACAUAUUCGCACUUUCAGCCCAGACACUUCCAGCCCUAGGUAUCUUUAUUUGGGGUCUCCAGAGACCUUUUUAUAAAAUUCGAGUAAGGAAGGGGAAAAGUUGAAGAUACUUUUCCUCACUCUAACUCAGUACUUUUCUACUCUUUGCCCUUUGCUUUUCUCUCAUCCCGUCCCAGGUCCAUAAAACUGCAGGAUUUUUUUUGUGGGGGAGCUCCCUGGGCGUUGAGAUGACCCCCGUGUCUGUGCUGAGCCCCCUGACCUUCAACUGGUGUCCUUGGGGAGAAAAUGGAAUAGGGGUGGGGCUGGGGGUUCAGCAUAAUCUCUGGUAUUAGCCUUCUGCUUAUACUAUCUCAAUCAGAAAUUAAAGGUCUGUUUGUUACUUUUAU
RNAcentral lists this long non-coding RNA (1544 nucleotides) under Homo sapiens (human). RNAcentral describes it as "HSALNT0011811". Lineage: Eukaryota; Metazoa; Chordata; Mammalia; Primates; Hominidae. The record is from RNAcentral.